Molecule: ribosomal RNA, 231 nt
Filed under: uncultured bacterium
Lineage: Bacteria
Description: partial 16S ribosomal RNA
Rfam family: Bacterial small subunit ribosomal RNA
Source: RNAcentral
UUGAACGCUGGCGGCAUGCCUUACACAUGCAAGUCGAACGGUAGAGGGGCAACCCUUGAGAGUGGCGAACGGGUGAGUAAUAUAUCGGAACGUGCCCAGUCGUGGGGGAUAACGCAGCGAAAGCUGCGCUAAUACCGCAUACGAUCUAUGGAUGAAAGCGGGGGAUCGCAAAGACCUCGCGCGAUUGGAGCGGCCGAUAUCAGAUUAGGUAGUUGGUGGGGUAAAAGCCCC